Molecule: transfer RNA, 77 nt
Filed under: Opitutia bacterium Tous-C1TDCM
Lineage: Bacteria; Pseudomonadati; Verrucomicrobiota; Opitutia
Also listed under: 6 other names
Description: Opitutae bacterium Tous-C1TDCM tRNA-Val
Rfam family: tRNA
About the family: Transfer RNA (tRNA) molecules are approximately 80 nucleotides in length.
Source: RNAcentral
GGACGCUUAGCUCAGUUGGUUAGAGCACCUGCUUCACACGCAGGGGGUCCGCGGUUCGAGUCCGCGAGCGUCCACCA